GCCGGGUGUGGUGGUGCACACCUGUAGUCCCAGUCAUGUUCAGCUACCCUGGAGGCUGAGGCAGGAUCCGUUGAGACCAGCCUGGGCAACAUAGUGGUACCCUGUCUCGA
This 110-nucleotide small RNA is filed under the name Marmota monax (woodchuck). The record is from RNAcentral. Lineage: Eukaryota; Metazoa; Chordata; Mammalia; Rodentia; Sciuridae.